CUCUAUGGCCAUACCAUCCUGAACGUGCCCAAUUUUAUCUCAUCUCUGAAGCCAGGAAGGUUGGGCUUAGUUAGUACUUGGAUGGGAGAAAUGUGAAUCCACUGACCAGAGAUA
Molecule: ribosomal RNA, 114 nt
Filed under: Capra hircus (goat)
Lineage: Eukaryota; Metazoa; Chordata; Mammalia; Artiodactyla; Bovidae
Source: RNAcentral